RNAcentral lists this long non-coding RNA (483 nucleotides) under Mytilus galloprovincialis (Mediterranean mussel). The record is from RNAcentral. Lineage: Eukaryota; Metazoa; Mollusca; Bivalvia; Mytilida; Mytilidae.
CUCGCAUCAACAUCAACAUUGAGGUGUCGGUGUACAUGAAGAAGAGAUAGAUUUGAAAGUCGCUCGUCUCCCAUUGUCGAUCUCAGGUAGGAUUUGACGCGUCUCAUCGCGCUGAAGGAUCUUUUACUAGUUGCCGAUGAAUUACAAUUUUAGCCUCUGUCAAAGAUUCAAUCAAAUCAAUAUCGGUUUUCUGUAAGUAAUUUGUCAAGGCGACUGUUGAGCUUAAUAUGUGUUCUGCAACAACAAGACUUAUGAUCAAAUCGAAGUAUCGCAUUCAUACUCUGUGCUGCUUUGUCAUCGUUGUCGUCUUUAAGUGAAUUGAGGGCAGAGACAACAACUUCAAAUGCUGUUCGAAAUGUAUACAGCGAAUCUGCCCGGCUUGACCAACGAGUUUCACACAGUGUUCUCAACUUUGUUCAACGUUCUAGUUGUUCUUGAACGUUUUCAUCUUUGAGCGAUAGUGAUUACUUGAUAGCACCCGCU